GCUGGGCAUGGUGGCACCUGCCUGUAAUCCCAGUGGCUUGGGAGGCUGAGGCAGGAAGAUUGAGAGUUCAAAGCCAGCCUCAG
This 83-nucleotide small RNA is filed under the name Marmota monax (woodchuck). The record is from RNAcentral. Lineage: Eukaryota; Metazoa; Chordata; Mammalia; Rodentia; Sciuridae.